UACGUAGGGGGCAAGCGUUGUCCGGAAUCAUUGGGCGUAAAGAGCGUGUAGGCGGCUCGGUAAGUCCGCUCUGAAAGCCCGGGGCUCAACCCCGGGAGGCGGGCGGAUACUGUCGGGCUAGAGUCCGGAAGAGGAGUGUGGAAUUCCCGGUGUAGCGGUGAAAUGCGCAGAUAUCGGGAAGAACACCCGUGGCGAAGGCGGCACUCUGGGACGGUACUGACGCUGAGGCUCGAAAGCGUGGGGAGCAAACAGG
This 253-nucleotide ribosomal RNA is filed under the name uncultured bacterium. RNAcentral's name for it is "partial 16S ribosomal RNA". It matches the Rfam family "Bacterial small subunit ribosomal RNA", at positions 524 to 776 of the family's 1533-position model. The record is from RNAcentral.